AGUGAACGCUGGCGGCAGGCCUAACACAUGCAAGUCGAACGGCAGCACAGUAAGAGCUUGCUCUUACGGGUGGCGAGUGGCGGACGGGUGAGGAAUACAUCGGAAUCUACUUUUUCGUGGGGGAUAACGUAGGGAAACUUACGCUAAUACCGCAUACGACGUACGGGUGAAAGCAGGGGAUCUUCGGACCUUGCGCGAUUGAAUGAGCCGAUGUCGGAUUAGCGAGUUGGCGGGGUAAAGGCCCACCAAGGCGACGAUCCGUAGCGGGUUUGAGAGGAUUGUCCGCCACACUUGAACUUGAGCACCGUCCAGGCUCCUACGGGAGGCCGCAGGGGGGAAUUUUGGACCAUGGGCCGCAGCCUGGUCCCGGCAAGACGGGGGGGUUAAAGAAGGCUUCCGGGUGUUAAGGCCUUUUUGUUGGAAAGAAAAGCAGCAGGUUAAUACCCCGCUGUUCUGACGGUACCCAAAGAAUAAGCACCGGCUAACUUCGUG
RNAcentral lists this ribosomal RNA (492 nucleotides) under uncultured bacterium. Its description in RNAcentral is "partial 16S ribosomal RNA". It matches the Rfam family "Bacterial small subunit ribosomal RNA", at positions 29 to 507 of the family's 1533-position model. The record is from RNAcentral.